Molecule: unclassified non-coding RNA, 240 nt
Filed under: Hevea brasiliensis (rubber tree)
Lineage: Eukaryota; Viridiplantae; Streptophyta; Magnoliopsida; Malpighiales; Euphorbiaceae
Source: RNAcentral
UGGAAGACUUCUUGAGAUUAGCUCAUACAAAUACACAGAAAAAUUAAGAAACAUGUGGUGUUCUUACUGGUUCACUGGUAAGUGGAACAAAAUUUUUAACAGAUACACAUAUACUUGCUUAUUUCCUGAAUGAGAAUGAGCCACCGUACAUGUUUCCUUGACUUUUCACUUCAUGCGGUGUGGAAAAACAGGGUUUUCCGCAUCAGUACACUUAUAAUUUGUUACAUAUUAUAGGAAGAG